GGAUUAGAUACCCGGGUAGUCCACGCCCUAAACGAUGUGUGCUAGUUGUCGGGCCCUUUAGGGUUCGGUGACGCAGCUAACGCUUUAAGCACACCGCCUGGGGAGUACGGUCGCAAGAUUAAAACUCAAAGGAAUUGACGGGGACCCGCACAAGCGGUGGAGCAUGUUGUUUAAUUCGAAGCAACGCGAAGAACCUUACCUACACUUGACAUUCCUCUUAGGGCUUUCAGAGAUGAUCGCUUUCGGUUCGGCCGGGGAGAGAACAGGUGCUGCAUGGCUGUCGUCAGCUCGUGUCGUGAGAUGUUGGGUUAAGUCCCGCAACGAGCGCAACCCUUAUCGUAUGUUGCCAGCAUUCAGUUGGGCACUCAUGCGAGACUGCCGGUGAUAAGCCGGA
RNAcentral lists this ribosomal RNA (394 nucleotides) under uncultured bacterium. Its description in RNAcentral is "bacterial SSU rRNA". It matches the Rfam family "Bacterial small subunit ribosomal RNA", at positions 775 to 1167 of the family's 1533-position model. The record is from RNAcentral.